RNAcentral lists this unclassified non-coding RNA (204 nucleotides) under Hevea brasiliensis (rubber tree). Lineage: Eukaryota; Viridiplantae; Streptophyta; Magnoliopsida; Malpighiales; Euphorbiaceae. The record is from RNAcentral.
GUCGAUUUCCACCUCUUUCAUGAACUUUUUCAACAUGGUCUAUUAACGAUGAAACCGAAGAAAACUUAGAGCUACAUUGUGGACAUUGCUCAACUUGUCCAUUUCCACCUCUACCGUUGCUGCUGCUACCAGAUGUGAUCCAAGUUUGACUGAAUUCAUUUGACAACUUUGUCAUGCUUGCCUCGGCUGAGGCUUUAACAGAUG